UAAAAAAAAAAAAAAAAAGAAACUAGGGGUGAAUUGGGCUUGUAAAGUUGAAAAUUGUAUGACUAUAUAAGAAGAUGGUUUUGUUUCUAGUGAUCACCAUAACAACAAUGUAAUUUAAUACACUCAUGUUAAACUGACAUUUUUUUUAUUCAAUUUUGGUUUAAGGGAGAUGAGUUGGAAAUAUAAACCAAACACAACUAGGAUUAGGAUUAAAGUAAGAAUUUGUAUUGUAGAAUUGUCUUUUGAUCAACAAGCCUUCUAGAACCCUUAUGAUGCAAAUUUUCGUGUACUAAGACAUCCUUAUACCUAAAGACUCUCAGGAACAGUUGUAAAAUAUAGUUACUUGAUAAGAGCACUUUGAAUAUUUAAUUACGUGACCACUGCUAGGAUGGAAACAAAAAGAAGAACGAUGCACAGAGUUGCAUAUUCCUUUCCAAUUAAUAAGUAGAUUGACUUAACAUAAAUUUCAUUGAUAAUUUUAUGAGGGUUGAAUCUUAGGAUGGUUGUAUUUUGAGAUUGCUUAUGUAUCUAAUCCAUUUAUAUUUCUGAUAUAGGAGAGGAAGGAGUUGAUAAAAG
RNAcentral lists this unclassified non-coding RNA (576 nucleotides) under Hevea brasiliensis (rubber tree). Lineage: Eukaryota; Viridiplantae; Streptophyta; Magnoliopsida; Malpighiales; Euphorbiaceae. The record is from RNAcentral.